AUGGCAAUGCAGACGGGCUGCUGCUCGGCGGCGGCGGUCCUCCUCUUCCUGGUGGUUGCCGCGGCCGGUGCGUCGGUCGCGGGGGCGACGUAUGUCAGGUACAAAGACCCCAAGCAGCCGAUCCAGGCGCGCGUGGAGGAUCUCCUCAGCCGGAUGAGGAUCGAGGAGAAGAUCGGGCAGAUGACGCAGAUCGAGCGCCACAACGCCUCCUCCGCCGUCAUCGAGAAGUACUUCGUCGGGAGCGUGCUGAGCGGUGGCGGCAGCGUGCCGUCGGAGAAGGCGUCGGCGGCGACGUGGCAGGAGAUGAUCACCAAGAUGCAGAAGGCGGCGCUCAGCACCCGCCUCGGCAUCCCCAUCAUCUACGGCAUCGACGCCGUGCAUGGCAACAACAACGCCUACAAUGCCACCAUCUUCCCCCACAACGUCGGCCUUGGCGCCACCAGGGACCCCGACCUUGUCAAGCGCAUCGGCCGCGCCACGGCGCUCGAGGCCAGGGCCACCGGCAUCCCCUACACCUUCGCGCCAUGCGUCGCGGUUUGCCGUGAUCCGAGGUGGGGCGGGUGCUACGAGAGCUUCAGCGAGGACACGAAGCUGGUGCAGCUGAUGACGUCGGCCAUCAUCCCCGGCCUGCAGGGCGACGUCUCCACCAAGCACCCCAGGGGCGUCCCCUUCGUGGGCGGGCCCAAGCACGUGGCCGCCUGCGCCAAGCACUUCGUCGGCGACGGCGGGACGCACCACGGGAUCAGCGGCAACAACACGGUGCUCAGCUUCCACGACCUGAUGCGGAUCCACAUGCCGCCCUACUACGACGCCGUCAUCAAGGGCGUCGCCUCCGUCAUGAUCUCCUACUCAAGCUGGAACGGCGUCAAGAUGCACGAGAACAAGUACCUCAUCACCCAAAUCCUCAAGGAGAAGAUGCACUUCAGGGGUUUUGUGAUCACGGACUGGCAGGCGGUGGACAAGAUCACCACCCCGCCGCACAAGCACUACUACCACUCCAUCCAGGAGACCAUCCACGCCGGCAUCGACAUGGUCAUGAUCCCAUUCGACUACCCCGAGUUCGUCGCCGACGUCCAGGCCCAGGUCAUGCGCGGCGCUAUCAAGAUGGACCGCAUCAACGACGCCGUCUCCCGCAUCCUCAGGGUCAAGUUCACCAUGGGCCUCUUCGAGAACCCCUUCCCCGAACACAGCCUCACCGCCCAGCUCGGCACCAAGGAGCACCGGGAGCUCGCCAGGGAGGCCGUCAGGAAGUCCCUCGUGCUGCUCAAGAACGGCAAAGGCAGGAAAGACGGCAAGCCCGUCCUCCCGCUCUCCAAGAAGGCCAAGAAGAUCCUCGUGGUCGGCACCCACGCCCACGACCUCGGCCUCCAGUGCGGCGGCUGGACCAAGUCGUGGCAGGGUCAGUCCGGCAACGGCAUCACCGGCCAAGGCACCACCAUCCUUGAGGCCAUCAAGUCGGCCGUGGACAAGAAGACGGUCAUCGACUACACGGAGCACCCGGACAAGGGCUCCGUCUCCAAGAACGAGGACGAGUACGACUACGCUGUGGUGGUGGUGGGCGAGAACCCGUACGCCGCCACGGCCGGCGACAACCUGAACCUCACCAUCCCGGGACCCGGGCCGGAGGUCAUCAGGAAGGUGUGCGAGCUCGUCAAGUGCGUCGUCGUCCUCGUCUCGGGCCGUCCGCUCGUCGUCGAGCCGUACCUGGACACCAUGGACGCGCUCGUCGCCGCCUGGCUGCCGGGCACCGAGGGCCACGGCGUCGCCGACGUGCUCUUCGGAGACCACGGAUUCUCUGGCAAGCUGCCCCGGACGUGGGUCAGGUCCGUCGACCAGCUGCCCAUGAACUACGGCGACAAGCUCUACGACCCGCUCUUCCCCUUCGGGUUCGGACUCACCACCAAGCCAGCGGAUCGCAGCUAG
Molecule: ribosomal RNA, 1923 nt
Filed under: Triticum aestivum (bread wheat)
Lineage: Eukaryota; Viridiplantae; Streptophyta; Magnoliopsida; Poales; Poaceae
Description: partial small subunit ribosomal RNA
Source: RNAcentral